UACGAAGGGGGCUAGCGUUGUUCGGAUUUACUGGGCGUAAAGCGCAUGUAGGCGGGUCGUUAAGUUCGGGGUGAAAUACCGAGGCUCAACCUCGGAACUGCCCUCAAGACUGGCGGCCUGGACCCAAGUAGAGGCGAGUGGAAUUCCGAGUGUAGAGGGGAAAUUCGUAGAUAAUCGGAGGAACCGCAGUGGGGAAGGCGACUCGCUGGACUUGUGGUGACGCUGAGAUGCGAAAGCGUGGGGAGCAAACAGG
Molecule: ribosomal RNA, 253 nt
Filed under: uncultured bacterium
Lineage: Bacteria
Description: partial 16S ribosomal RNA
Rfam family: Bacterial small subunit ribosomal RNA
Source: RNAcentral